ACGUAGGACGCAAGCGUUAUCCGGAUUUAUUGGGUUUAAAGGGUGCGUAGGCGGACAAAUAAGUCAGCGGUGAAAGACUGUCGCUCAACGAUAGCAUUGCCAUUGAUACUGUAUGUCUUGAGUACAAUUGAGGUAGGCGGAAUGUGUAGUGUAGCGGUGAAAUGCUUAGAUAUUACACAGAACACCGAUUGCGAAGGCAGCUUACUAAAUUGUUACUGACGCUGAGGCACGAAAGCGUGGGGAUCAAACAGGAUUAGAUACCCUGGUAGUCCACGCCGUAAACGAUGAUCACUGGUUGUUAGCGAUAUACAGUUAGCGACUGAGCGAAAGCAUUAAGUGAUCCACCUGGGGAGUACGUCGGCAACGAUG
Molecule: ribosomal RNA, 369 nt
Filed under: uncultured bacterium
Lineage: Bacteria
Description: bacterial SSU rRNA
Rfam family: Bacterial small subunit ribosomal RNA
Source: RNAcentral